GAAAUGCGAUAAGUAAUGUGAAUUGCAGAAUUCAGUGAAUCAUCGAAUCUUUGAACGCACCUUGCGCUCCUUGGUAUUCCUUGGAGCAUGCCUGUUUGAGUAUCAUGAAAUCUUCAAAGUAAAUCUUUUGUUAACUCAAUUGGUUUCUAAUUUGGUAUUGGAGGUCUUUGCAGCUUCACACCUGCUCCUCUUUGUUCAUUAGCUGGAUCUCAGUGUUAUGCUUGGUUCCACUCGGCGUGAUAAGUUAUCUAUCGCUGAGGACACUGUAAAAGGUGGCCAAGGUAAAUGCAGAUGAACCGCUUCUAAUAGUCCAUUGACUUGGACAAUACUUUUAUGAUCUGAUCUCAAAUCAGGUAGGACUACCCGCUGAACUUAAGC
This 378-nucleotide unclassified non-coding RNA is filed under the name plant metagenome. RNAcentral's name for it is "partial contains 5.8S ribosomal RNA, internal transcribed spacer 2, and large subunit ribosomal RNA". The stretch from base 1 to 105 matches the Rfam family "5.8S ribosomal RNA", at positions 50 to 154 of the family's 154-position model. The record is from RNAcentral.